This 220-nucleotide ribosomal RNA is filed under the name uncultured bacterium. RNAcentral's name for it is "partial 16S ribosomal RNA". It matches the Rfam family "Bacterial small subunit ribosomal RNA", at positions 524 to 739 of the family's 1533-position model. The record is from RNAcentral.
UACGGAGGAUCCAAGCGUUAUCCGGAUUUAUUGGGUUUAAAGGGUGCGUAGGCGGCCUAUUAAGUCAGGGGGUGAAAGACGGUGGCUCAACCAUCGCAGUGCCUUUGAUACUGAUAGGCUUGAUUACACUAGAGGUAGGCGGAAUGUGACAAGUAGCGGUGAAAUGCAUAGAUAUGUCACAGAACACCCAAAUUUGCGAAGGCAGCUUACUAUGGUGUCA